UACAGAGACCUCGAGCGUUAUUCGGAUUCACUGGGCGUAAAGGGUGCGCAGGCGGUUAGAUGUGUCAGGUGUGAAAGCUCUAGGCUCAACCUAGAAAUUGCGCUUGAAACUAUCUGACUAGAGUAUCGGAGAGGUGAGCGGAAUUCAUGGUGUAGCAGUGAAAUGCGUAGAUAUCAUGAGGAACACCAGAGGCGAAGGCGGCUCACUGGACGAUUACUGACGCUCAGGCACGAAAGCGUGGGGAGCGAAAGGG
This 253-nucleotide ribosomal RNA is filed under the name uncultured bacterium. RNAcentral describes it as "partial 16S ribosomal RNA". It matches the Rfam family "Bacterial small subunit ribosomal RNA", at positions 524 to 776 of the family's 1533-position model. The record is from RNAcentral.